GAUGAACGCUGGCGGCGUGCUUAAUACAUGCAAGUCGAACGGACAGGCCCGGCUCUUGCUGCUCUCACGUUUGCGGCGGGCGGGUGAGUCACGCGUGGAUAACCCCCCUAUCAGAGUGGGAUCACUUCGGAAAACCGGCGCUAAUCCCGGAUGAUAUCUUGAACCGCAUGGUUGGAUAGUGAAAGACGGUUUUGGUGUCUCUUCUAGCUGGAUCCGCGCCGUAUUGGCUAGUUGUUAGGGUAACGGCUUAUCACGGCGACGAUGCGUGGCCGACCGGCGGGGGGGAUCGCCGACAGGGGAAGUGAGACGCGGUCCAGAGUCCUACGGGAGGCAGCAGUAUGCAAUCGUCGGCAAUGGGCGGAAGCCUGACGGAGCAGCGCCGCGUGAGUGAUGAAGGUCCUCGGAGCGUAAAACUCUGUUAUUAGGGAAGAACAAAUUUGUAAGGAACUAUGCACUUCGUGACGGUACCUAAUCAGAAAGCCACGGCUAACUACGUG
This 497-nucleotide ribosomal RNA is filed under the name uncultured bacterium. RNAcentral describes it as "partial 16S ribosomal RNA". It matches the Rfam family "Bacterial small subunit ribosomal RNA", at positions 28 to 507 of the family's 1533-position model. The record is from RNAcentral.